GACGAACGCUGGCGGCGUGCUUAACACAUGCAAGUCGAACGGAAAGGCCCUGCUUUUGUGGGGUGCUCGAGUGGCGAACGGGUGAGUAACACGUGAGUAACCUGCCCUUGACUUUGGGAUAACUUCAGGAAACUGGGGCUAAUACCGGAUAGGAGCUCCUGCUGCAUGGUGGGGGUUGGAAAGUUUCGGCGGUUGGGGAUGGACUCGCGGCUUAUCAGCUUGUUGGUGGGGUAGUGGCUUACCAAGGCUGUGACGGGUAGCCGGCCUGAGAGGGUGACCGGCCACAUUGGGACUGAGAUACGGCCCAGACUCCUACGGGAGGCAGCAGUGGGGAGUAUUGCACAAUGGGCGGAAGCCUGAUGCAGCAACGCCGCGUGCGGGAUGACGGCCUUCGGGUUGUAAACCGCUUUCGCCUGUGACGAAGCGUGAGUGACGGUAAUGGGUAAAGAAGCACCGGCUAACUACGUG
This 468-nucleotide ribosomal RNA is filed under the name uncultured bacterium. Its description in RNAcentral is "partial 16S ribosomal RNA". It matches the Rfam family "Bacterial small subunit ribosomal RNA", at positions 28 to 507 of the family's 1533-position model. The record is from RNAcentral.